CCUACGGGAGGCAGCAGUGGGGAAUAUUGGGCAAUGGGCGCAAGCCUGACCCAGCAACGCCGCGUGAAGGAAGAAGGCUUUCGGGUUGUAAACUUCUUUUGUCAGGGACGAGUAGAAGACGGUACCUGACGAAUAAGCCACGGCUAACUACGUGCCAGCAGCCGCGGUAAUACGUAGGUGGCAAGCGUUGUCCGCAUUUACUGGGUGUAAAGGGCGUGUAGCCGGGUUGACAAGUCAGAUGUGAAAUCCUGCGGCUUAACCGCAGAACUGCAUUUGAAACUGUUGAUCUUGAGUACUGGAGAGGCAGACGGAAUUCCUAGUGUAGCGGUGAAAUGCGUAGAUAGUAGGAGGAACACCAGUGGCGAAGGCGGUCUGCUGGACAGCAACUGACGGUGAGGCGCGAAAGCGUGGGGAGCAAACAGGAUUAGAUACCCCAGUAGUC
RNAcentral lists this ribosomal RNA (442 nucleotides) under uncultured bacterium. RNAcentral's name for it is "partial 16S ribosomal RNA". It matches the Rfam family "Bacterial small subunit ribosomal RNA", at positions 338 to 795 of the family's 1533-position model. The record is from RNAcentral.